UAGCCAUGUUAUCAAGCUGUUUAGAAAGGA
This 30-nucleotide non-coding RNA is filed under the name Rattus norvegicus (Norway rat). Lineage: Eukaryota; Metazoa; Chordata; Mammalia; Rodentia; Muridae. The record is from RNAcentral.